Molecule: ribosomal RNA, 253 nt
Filed under: uncultured bacterium
Lineage: Bacteria
Description: partial 16S ribosomal RNA
Rfam family: Bacterial small subunit ribosomal RNA
Source: RNAcentral
UACGUAGGGUGCGAGCGUUGUCCGGAAUUACUGGGCGUAAAGAGCUCGUAGGUGGUUUGUCGCGUUAUCCGUGAAAACUCACAACUCAAUUGUGGGCGUGCGGGCGAUACGGGCAGACUGGAGUACUGCAGGGGAGACUGGAAUUCCUGGUGUAGCGGUGAAAUGCGCAGAUAUCAGGAGGAACACCGGUGGCGAAGGCGGGUCUCUGGGCCGAUACUGACGCUGAGGAGCGAAAGCGUGGGGAGCGAACAGG